AGGAUAUAUUGGUGAGUUUGAAUAUAUUGAUGACCACCAUUCUGGGAAAAUUGUGGUGGAGCUCAAGGGUGUUGACAGUCCUUCUCACUGGCGCCAAUUCGAACCCCACCUCCGGCCAUUGUCGGUGUCCACCUCCCAAAGUCAUCAUCGACAUUCACAAUAAGUUCAGUCAGAGAAAAGGAGGCUCUCAUGCAAUGAUCCCAAAGUGAAGAAUAGGAAGAAUGUCAAGAAAAAUGACAUUAUUGAGUUUUCAAUGACCUAAAAAUAAUGUAUAGAUAUUUUUUUAUGAAAUGUGCUUCUUAAUAAGCAAUGAAUAUUGUAUAAUAUAUGUUUGCUUAUUUUUUUAUUAAAGUUAAAUAAUUUAUUUGA
Molecule: long non-coding RNA, 369 nt
Organism: Humulus lupulus (European hop)
Lineage: Eukaryota; Viridiplantae; Streptophyta; Magnoliopsida; Rosales; Cannabaceae
Exons: 2
Source: RefSeq, a predicted model, not a curated record